UAAAAGUAUUUAUGGACUAAGACAUGUGCCCUUUUAGAAAAGUUUUAUUUGAGUGCUAGCACACCUGUUGAUGAUGAAUAAGACCAAUUAAGUAUCCGCCUCAUUAUCGCUUGUCUUUUACAGCUAGCUCAUUUACGAAACUAGGUGGAAACAGGUAACUUCGUUGGCCCAAGCAGGUUGCUGAGCAAGGCAGCAAUCAUGUCAUUAGACGAAAUGUUGGUAAAAAAAAAGGUCACGAUUGGAUGUGAAUUCCCAGGCAAAAGGUGAUAUGAAAUCAGGCAAAACGCAUUAAUAAGCUAUUUAACCUGAUU
Molecule: non-coding RNA, 311 nt
Organism: Schizosaccharomyces pombe (fission yeast)
Lineage: Eukaryota; Fungi; Ascomycota; Schizosaccharomycetes; Schizosaccharomycetales; Schizosaccharomycetaceae
Source: the annotation of a GenBank genome assembly